GAUGAACGCCGGCGGCGUGCCUAAUACAUGCAAGUCGAGCGAACAGACGAGGAGCUUGCUCCUCUGACGUUAGCGGCGGACGGGUGAGUAACACGUGGAUAACCUACCUAUAAGACUGGGAUAACUUCGGGAAACCGGAGCUAAUACCGGAUAAUAUAUUGAACCGCAUGGUUCAAUAGUGAAAGACGGUUUUGCUGUCACUUAUAGAUGGAUCCGCGCCGCAUUAGCUAGUUGGUAAGGUAACGGCUUACCAAGGCAACGAUGCGUAGCCGACCUGAGAGGGGGAUCGGCCACACUGGAACUGAGACACGGUCCAGACUCCUACGGGAGGCAGCAGUAGGGAAUCUUCCGCAAUGGGCGAAAGACUGACGGAGCAACGCCGCGUGAGUGAUGAAGGUCUUCGGAUCGUAAAACUCUGUUAUUAGGGAAGAACAAAUGUGUAAGUAACUAUGCACGUCUUGACGGUACCUAAUCAGAAAGCCACGGCUAACUACGUG
RNAcentral lists this ribosomal RNA (497 nucleotides) under uncultured bacterium. RNAcentral describes it as "partial 16S ribosomal RNA". It matches the Rfam family "Bacterial small subunit ribosomal RNA", at positions 28 to 507 of the family's 1533-position model. The record is from RNAcentral.